GCUGCAUCCUGGACCAUUUUCAGACAGUUGUCAAGUGGCUGUGAAGCUCACAAUUGUUUGGCUGCCUGGGAAUGUGUGCCUUCCAGCCACUCUCAGGCACAUCAUCACUGAAUGAUGCCUUUGGGUCCUUGAACGGAAGUGGUCUGUCUUUCAGCUCUGAUCAAUCACGCCUGUUUAUUAGGCAAGGUGAUUAAAGUGGUGGCGAACAUAGAAGAAGAAUUCUCCAGAUGAUGCAACAGGGUAAAGGACACAUGAGACAUCAAAGAAACAAUUCCUAGAUGAUAUGUCAGACACGAUUGCCUUUGAAAGAGCAAGAUGUACAUGGAAGAACCCAAAGGCCACACUUUUGAAAAGGAAAAACAAGAAUAAGCCCUGUUGCUCUUUAAGGAGAAAGGAAGGAACAGAAGGCUGCUGGGGCCUUUCUCACGUGGCCUGUGUUCUGUAAAGCAACUUCCCAGCAGCAGCAUGGCACUGUUCUAGUUCGCCCAGUCCUACUGAAUCUCCUGCUGCACCAGAUCCUCUUGUCCUGCCAUGGUGAAAGCCUGAGGAAGACUGAAGUAAAGACUUUGGAUCUGUGAAGGGGACAAGGAGAAAACUCCAGCUAUGAGCAGGCACUCAUGUUGCCGUGAACUACGCACUGAGUACUGGGAUGUUGGAUAUUGUGUGGACACUUGAGGAAGAAUGAAGAAUUUAGCCAUGAUGAAUUUAUACUAAGAUGCAGAUGGAGUUAUUGCCAUGGUGUUAGGACAAGCUGAUUGUGUUAAAGCAUGUGACACACCUAAUUUCAGAAACCAGAGGGGAAAUCGCCGCUCAUUAAAGUUCAAGCUUGCAUCCCUUUGGUCUCCUCCAACUAGAGCCAUGAUAUGAUGGUCCUGCCCAGGUCAUGUAAGUGAGAGUCUGCCAGGUGGGGUCCUGGAAACCUUUUUCUCUCUUGAUAAAGAGAGACUCCACUGAUGUCCUUUCAUGUUUUGCCCAUCCUUCUUUAUGCAUGGAAGCCUGGACGCGAAUCAGCCUUCAAGUCUCUAAGGUCACAGCUGUGAUGGACAUGGAACAAGGUGCUAUGGGUUGAGGGACAGAUGCAGAGAGAGCACAGGACCCCAGAGGCAUCAUUUUCACCAGCUCUUGGCUACCUGCCUCCUGACUUCUUGGUAUAUGAGAAAAACAAACUCUCAUUGUUCAAGUUAUUACUUUCUCCUUGCCGUAUUUUUCUCAUCCAAAUACAAAACUACCUGAGGCUAUUAUAGACUUGUAAUUUCUCCCACCCAUGGAAAAAUGUGAUGAUUGUUAAAUCUUUAGAAAUAAUGAAUAAUGGUAAAAAGAAGUCAUCCAAGUUUUAGCAUCCAUUAUGACAAAAAAAUCAGAAUAUGUGUUGCUGUUCUAAGAAAUUUAGUAUUAAGAGAGCCAUAUGUUUAUGCCUAUGUUUAAAAACAUAGGGAUUAAAAUUAGUCUUACUUUCAUAAGGCAGCCAUUGGCACCUGAUUUCUGAUGAAACCACUGGUUAUUUGCUGUACCAGGUUAAAACAAAUUACUUUUAUUUGUAUAUUAUAUAUAUAUAUAUAUAACAUCAGGACUGCUUGUGAAUUGCCAUCUGUAAUGAAAUUUUAUUCUAUGUAAAUGAUAUCUAAUUAUUAAGAAGAAUUGUUGUCAAGAUAAAUGAGUAAAUAAAGCUGUCUAUGAUCUUAAAUUUUGAGAAAUAUACUUAAUCUGAGUUUCUAUUACUUUCAAUUAUGUCAGUGAAAAAUAACUCUAAAAUGUUAUAUUCCGGGAUGAUUUCGUGA
This 1778-nucleotide long non-coding RNA is filed under the name Homo sapiens (human). RNAcentral's name for it is "HSALNT0406943". Lineage: Eukaryota; Metazoa; Chordata; Mammalia; Primates; Hominidae. The record is from RNAcentral.